RNAcentral lists this ribosomal RNA (440 nucleotides) under uncultured bacterium. Its description in RNAcentral is "partial 16S ribosomal RNA". It matches the Rfam family "Bacterial small subunit ribosomal RNA", at positions 338 to 795 of the family's 1533-position model. The record is from RNAcentral.
CCUACGGGAGGCCGCAGUAGGGAAUAUUGCUCAAUGGGGGAAACCCUGAAGCAGCAACGCCGCGUGGAGGAUGAAGGUUUUCGGAUUGUAAACUCCUUUUGUUAGAGAAGAUAAUGACGGUCUCUAACGAAUAAUCACCGGCUAACGCCGUGACAGCAGCCGCGGUAAUACGGGGGGCGCAAGCGUUACUCGGAAUCACGGGGCCUAAAGCGGGCGUAGGCGGGAUAGCAAGUCAGAUGUGAAAUCCUAUGGCUUAACCAUAGAAAUGCAUUUGAAACGGGUAGUCUAGAGUAUGGGAGAGGUAGGUGGAAUUCUGGGUGUAGGGGUAAAAUCCGUAGAGAUCAAGAAGAAUACUCAUUGCGAAGGCGACCUGCUAGACCAUAACUGACGCUGAUGCGCGAAAGCGUGGGGAUCAAACAGGAUUAGAUACCCGAGUAGUC